Molecule: ribosomal RNA, 428 nt
Filed under: uncultured delta proteobacterium
Lineage: Bacteria; Deltaproteobacteria
Description: bacterial SSU rRNA
Rfam family: Bacterial small subunit ribosomal RNA
Source: RNAcentral
AACGCGAAGAACCUUACCUGGGUUUGACAUCUCCUGACAGCCGUAGAGAUACGGUUUCUUACGCAAGUAAGCAGGAAGACAGGUGCUGCAUGGCUGUCGUCAGCUCGUGUGGUGACAUGUUGGGUUAAGUCCCGCAACGAGCGCAACCCUUGUCUUUAGUUGCCAGCAUUCAGUUGGGCACUCUAAAGAGACUGCCGUGGUUAACACGGAGGAAGGUGGGGAUGACGUCAAGUCCUCAUGGCCUUUAUAUCCAGGGCGACACACGUGAUACAAUGGACGGUACAGAGGGAAGCGAAACCGCGAGGUGGAGCCAAUCUCAAAAAGCCGUUCUCAGUUCGGAUUGGAGUCUGCAACUCGACUCCAUGAAGUUGGAAUCGCUAGUAAUCGCGGAUCAGCACGCCGCGGUGAAUACGUUCCCGGGCCUUGUA